AAGUCGUAACAAGGUUGAGAACCAAAUCCAUUGUUAACAGUUGUUCGAGUUUGGUGGCCGCACAAUUAAGCGCAGGCCCGUUUUCAUGCAAAGGGGUGAUCAGGGGGGCCGGCCAGGUCGCCGGCCGUGAUGGCCUCUAGCGAUCGUUACUGCGCCAUCCGGACAGAGCUAAUGACACUUCCACACUACUUCGCCUCGUCUCACACUUCACGCACCAGGUAGACGGAAUCAAAACUGUUCGGCGAUGAUUUACCCGCUGUGCCUGCUACUUUCCAACGAAGCGUGUAAGUACAAUAAAGGUUCACGGGGGGUUUAACGUUUGGAUACGUGUUCAAUGAUCCUUGCGCAGGUUCACCUACGGA
RNAcentral lists this unclassified non-coding RNA (362 nucleotides) under fungal sp. RNAcentral's name for it is "partial internal transcribed spacer region". The record is from RNAcentral. Lineage: Eukaryota; Fungi.